This is a non-coding RNA of Hanseniaspora uvarum DSM 2768, 82 nucleotides long. The record is from Rfam. Lineage: Eukaryota; Fungi; Ascomycota; Saccharomycetes; Saccharomycodales; Saccharomycodaceae.
GUCACAGUGCCGGAGUGGUUAACGGGUUGCCCUGCUAAGGCAAUGGUCUUUGGCCUCGCAGGUUCGAAUCCUGUCUGUGACG